UGUUGGGCCUCACGCAACGUGGUCUUGUGAAAUCCGUCAGGUCCGGAAGGAAGCAGCGGUAGCAAAUUCCCAUGUGUGCUGUGAGUUACCCAGCAAUU
RNAcentral lists this signal recognition particle RNA (98 nucleotides) under Nitrospina sp. Its description in RNAcentral is "signal recognition particle sRNA small type". It matches the Rfam family "Bacterial small signal recognition particle RNA". From Rfam's summary of the family: The signal recognition particle (SRP) is a universally conserved ribonucleoprotein involved in the co-translational targeting of proteins to membranes. Archaeal SRP consists of a 7S RNA and homologues of the eukaryotic SRP19 and SRP54 proteins. In most bacteria, the SRP consists of a 4.5S RNA and the Ffh protein (a homologue of the eukaryotic SRP54 protein). The record is from RNAcentral. Lineage: Bacteria; Pseudomonadati; Nitrospinota; Nitrospinia; Nitrospinales; Nitrospinaceae. RNAcentral also lists the same sequence under 2 other names.